AUCGCGUACUGAGUAACAGCGUUACUUCAGAAGCACCUGCAUCGGCCAGCAAGGAUAGCCAAGAAUCUAUAUCUGUCAACUGCCAAGUGCAGCCUGAUCUGACUAUUACGGAGAAGACCACAGAAAUUCAGCAGAAAGAAGAGAAGACCUCAGUAAUUCAGCAGAAAGAAGAGAAGACCACAGAAAUUCAGCAGAAAGAAGAGAAGACCGCGGAAAUUCUGCAGAAAGAAGAGAAGACCACAGAAAUUCUGCCGAAAGAAGAGAAGCCCACAGAAAUUCUGCCAAAAGAAGAGAAGCCCGCAGAAAUUCUGCAGAAAGAAGAGAAGACCACGGAAAUUCUGCAGAAAGAAGAGGAGACCAUAGAACUUCAGCAGAAAGAAGAGAAGCUUGAGUUGUCUUCUCUUCUGGACUCGAAGUUGUCCAUAGAGGAUGACACGGGAGCAGAUGCACCUCUUGAUGAGCACAGUAUUAUUUUAAUCCAGACUGCUGUUAGGGG
Molecule: long non-coding RNA, 496 nt
Filed under: Salvia miltiorrhiza (redroot sage)
Lineage: Eukaryota; Viridiplantae; Streptophyta; Magnoliopsida; Lamiales; Lamiaceae
Description: long non-coding RNA (SMIL_LNC008145)
Source: RNAcentral